CCUACGGGGGGCAGCAGUGAGGAAUAUUGGUCAAUGGCCGGAAGGCUGAACCAGCCAUGCCGCGUGAAGGGCAGAGCCCUAGGGGCGGUAAACUUCUUUUGUGCGGGAGCAAUAAUGGUCACGUGUGGCCAGACGAGAGUACCGUACGAAUAAGCAGCGGCUAACUCCGGGCCAGCAGCCGCGGUAAUACGGGGGAUGCAAGCGUUAUCCGGAUUUCUGGGGUUUAAAGGGGGCGUAGGCUGUGAGGUAAGUCAGCGGUGAAAUGCCCCCGCUCAACGGGGUGAAGGGCCCUUGCUACUGCCUUGCUGGCUUGCGGAUGCCGUGGGCGGAAUGUGUGGUGUAGCGGU
Molecule: ribosomal RNA, 347 nt
Filed under: uncultured bacterium
Lineage: Bacteria
Description: partial 16S ribosomal RNA
Rfam family: Bacterial small subunit ribosomal RNA
Source: RNAcentral